ACCUGGCUGGCUCAGUCGGAAGAGCAUGUGACUCUUGAUCUCAGGGUUAUGAGUUCGAUCCCCACGUUGGGUG
This 73-nucleotide transfer RNA is filed under the name Felis catus (domestic cat). It matches the Rfam family "tRNA". From Rfam's summary of the family: Transfer RNA (tRNA) molecules are approximately 80 nucleotides in length. Lineage: Eukaryota; Metazoa; Chordata; Mammalia; Carnivora; Felidae. The record is from Rfam by way of RNAcentral.